ACGUAGGUGGCGAGCGUUGUCCGGAAUGACUGGGUGUAAAGGGUGCGUAGGCGGACUUGCAAGUCAGGUGUGAAAGCUAUCGGCUUAACGGGUAGCUUGCACUUGAAACUGUGAGUCUUGAGUGCAGAAGAGGUAAGCGGAAUUCCUAGUGUAGCGGUGAAAUGCGUAGAUAUCAGGAGGAACACCAGUGGCGAAGGCGGCUUACUGGACUGUAACUGACGCUGAGGCGCGAAAGUAUGGGGAGCAAACAG
Molecule: ribosomal RNA, 251 nt
Filed under: uncultured prokaryote
Description: partial 16S rRNA
Rfam family: Bacterial small subunit ribosomal RNA
Source: RNAcentral